AUGUUGCCACUCCUCCAACAUUUUCCUGUCCUGCAUCUAACUCAAGGUACCUUCUUCUGGUGUAGUACUGGCUACCAUCUCCAUACCUUGUACAGUAUAAAUCCACAACUUCUGGUGCCAUCUCGGAGUGCAGCAACAGCAACACUUCUUAACCAGCAGAUGAAGGAGGGAAAAAGGGCCUUUAACAGAACUACAGAAGGUAGGAGGUGUAUGAGACAAAAUUCACACUCCCACCAAAGAGGUAGAGAAAAAGCAGCUGGAAGAGGCACUUACUUCUUCAGUGAUACAGCUCCGUUCAGUCUUGGAAAAUCAUCGUGCAUAUUGAACAUGACUGCUGGAGGAAGGCUACAUGCUGUACUCACAAAGGGAUUUGAACGCUGAAAGAUUCCUCUUUCAGGUGUUGGAAUUAAACACACGUACUCUGGUUUUGGUUACAGCAUCUUCUGCUUCAAAGUCAGCAUAUAUGCAUAUACAUUAUUACUUCCUGUGAUUGCCAUAGCUGUAUAAGUGUAUGGGCAGCAGCAAUUCAUUUUUUUCAUGCCAAGGCCAGCUCUGCAAGUUCUACUGGGAUAAUUAAUCCCAUUGUGGGAGAAGAAGGUCAUGUAAAAAUAACAGCUAAAAUGGGGUAAGAAGGUGGAUAUAACUAUGUUGUUAUAAAGAUGACACAUCCAAAUGAUGGUUUUCCUUGCUUUAUAGGAAUAGCUAUCCCUGUAUAAAGCACCUUUAAACAGAUACAGCUAUAGACUUGACAUGUCAGAAGUUGAGACAGCAGGGAAAUUGCAUUGCUUUAGCUCUAUCACAAUAAUUAAAAUAGGACCUAUUUUAUUUGGGACAAGCCCCAAAUAACAUAUGGCAAUAAAAAAUUACUUCAUUUGGCA
RNAcentral lists this long non-coding RNA (878 nucleotides) under Cyanistes caeruleus (blue tit). RNAcentral describes it as "lncRNA (ENSCCEG00000003171.1)". Lineage: Eukaryota; Metazoa; Chordata; Aves; Passeriformes; Paridae. The record is from RNAcentral.